RNAcentral lists this transfer RNA (73 nucleotides) under Pseudomonas phage vB_PaeP_C1-14_Or. Its description in RNAcentral is "tRNA-Asp". It matches the Rfam family "tRNA". Rfam says of the family: Transfer RNA (tRNA) molecules are approximately 80 nucleotides in length. Their secondary structure includes four short double-helical elements and three loops (D, anti-codon, and T loops). Lineage: Duplodnaviria; Heunggongvirae; Uroviricota; Caudoviricetes. The record is from RNAcentral.
GGCCCAUUAACUCAGCGGUAAGAGUACUCCCCUGUCUAGGGAGAAGUCUGGGGUUCGAAUCCCCAAUGGGUCG